RNAcentral lists this ribosomal RNA (764 nucleotides) under uncultured Streptococcus sp. RNAcentral's name for it is "bacterial SSU rRNA". It matches the Rfam family "Bacterial small subunit ribosomal RNA", at positions 28 to 776 of the family's 1533-position model. Lineage: Bacteria; Bacillati; Bacillota; Bacilli; Lactobacillales; Streptococcaceae. The record is from RNAcentral.
GACGAACGCUGGCGGCGUGCCUAAUACAUGCAAGUAGAACGCUGAAGGGAGGAGCUUGCUCUUCUGGAUGAGUUGCGAACGGGUGAGUAACGCGUAGGUAACCUGCCUGGUAGCGGGGGAUAACUAUUGGAAACGAUAGCUAAUACCGCAUAAGAGUAGAUGUCGCAUGACAUUUGCUUAAAAGGUGCAAUUGCAUCACUACCAGAUGGACCUGCGUUGUAUUAGCUAGUUGGUGAGGUAACGGCUCACCAAGGCAACGAUACAUAGCCGACCUGAGAGGGUGAUCGGCCACACUGGGACUGAGACACGGCUCAGACUCCUACGGGAGGCAGCAGUAGGGAAUCUUCGGCAAUGGACGGAAGUCUGACCGAGCAACGCCGCGUGAGUGAAGAAGGUUUUCGGAUCGUAAAGCUCUGUUGUAAGAGAAGAACGAGUGUGAGAGUGGAAAGUUCACACUGUGACGGUAUCUUACCAGAAAGGGACGGCUAACUACGUGCCAGCAGCCGCGGUAAUACGUAGGUCCCGAGCGUUGUCCGGAUUUAUUGGGCGUAAAGCGAGCGCAGGCGGUUAGAUAAGUCUGAAGUUAAAGGCUGUGGCUUAACCAUAGUACGCUUUGGAAACUAUUUAACUUGAGUGCAAGGGGGGAGAGUGGAAUUCCAUGUGUAGCGGUGAAAUGCGUAGAUAUAUGGAGGAACACCGGUGGCGAAAGCGGCUCUCUGGCUUGUAACUGACGCUGAGGCUCGAAAGCGUGGGGAGCAAACAGG